Molecule: ribosomal RNA, 464 nt
Filed under: uncultured bacterium
Lineage: Bacteria
Description: bacterial SSU rRNA
Rfam family: Bacterial small subunit ribosomal RNA
Source: RNAcentral
ACGAACGUUGGCGGGGUGCCUAAUACAUGCAAGUCGAGCGAGAAAGCCGGGGCAACUCGGCGAGUACAGCGGCGGAAGGGUGCGUACUACAUGGAUAACGUACCCUCCAGUUGGGGAUAACCCUCCGAAAGGUGGGCUAAUACCGAAUAAUGGCAGCGGGCGGCAUCGUUUGCUGCUUAAAGACGCAAGUCGCUGGAGGAGCGGUCCAUGGCCUAUCAGCUAGUUGGCGGGGUAACGGCCCACCAAGGCGAGGACGGGUAGCCGGACUGAGAGGUUGAACGGCCACACUGGGACUGAGACACGGCUCAGACAUCUACGGAUGGCAGCAGUAGGGAAUCUUGCGCAAUGGGCGAAAGCCUGACGCAGCGACACCGCGUGGGGGAUGAAGGCCUUCGGGUUGUAAACCCCUUUCAUGAGGGAAGAACGCUGACCUCACCUCAGGAAGAAGCACCGGCUAACUCCGU